This 1006-nucleotide long non-coding RNA is filed under the name Calidris pugnax (ruff). Its description in RNAcentral is "lncRNA (ENSCPUG00000014462.1)". Lineage: Eukaryota; Metazoa; Chordata; Aves; Charadriiformes; Scolopacidae. The record is from RNAcentral.
GGGCUGGGUGACGGAGGUCAGUGGUGGGCAGCCUCCCCAGUCACCACUGUGUCUGGCUCCACAGCAGCUCCUCAGGAGCGAACUCAUCUGCUCUGGCUCCUGAGGCAUUCUCCCCCGCUGGUGUGAGCCCAAACACCCCGGGAAGGGCAAGCGGGAACGUGCAGUGAUUGAAGAGAGCGAUUCACCAUUCCUCAGCCUCCACAGAAGGCUAUGUUCAUCUCCUUGGGGUGCGGUUUACGAACAGUUCAUGGAGAGGAACGGGACGCUUGAAUCUUCUGUGAUCCUUCUGUGUGCCAGUGCUGUCCGUUCUGAGGCGCAAGGCCCAACCUUGGAGCAAAGCAAGAAGAAACAGAUGUUUCAAACAGACUGAUCCUCACCACAUGAUAGCUGCUCGAGUCUGUCACCGAGUCUCGUGGCGUAACAGGAGCAAGGACUACAUGAAUUAGCAAGCAUUUCUAGGAUCAGGCCCUGGACUGGUAACAUAUUGAGACUUUUUAGAGCUGUGUAUCUUGAAGUAGCUUACAUCUAGGAUGUAGAAAAAAAACCCUCCUCUUAGCUGAGUUUUUUGGCUUUGCUGAAGCAGGGAGCCAGCCACGGGGGAUGCUUUUCUUGAGAAACACUUUGCCCUCGUAAGGAGGAUUUGAUUGUGGCUUUGACGAUCAGCCGUGUCGUGGCAGAGAGGAUGUGAAAGUGAAGCACCCCAACGGCAGUUGGUGGUGACGUCCUGUUUGCUGAGGACAGGAGCAAGCUCAACACGUCCGUGGGGACCGUGUGUGUAACCGACAGCUGCUUGCACCCCUCAGGAGCCCAGCCUUCUCCCCCUGGCAACAAGUGGUUCCCCCUUCUCCAGCUGCUGCGUGGAGCUUCUUCACCCAAGUUAACCUCUCCCUGUGAAUCCAGAGACGGGAGGCAUUUCAGCUGCCUCCUGUGCGAGGAGCGUUGCCACCUCACACUCUGAGGUGAGAAUCGCUCGCUCACUUGUGCAGCUUCGAGGCUCCGUUGAGCC